This 5768-nucleotide long non-coding RNA is filed under the name Lupinus angustifolius (narrow-leaved blue lupine). RNAcentral's name for it is "long non-coding RNA (LANG_LNC001798)". The record is from RNAcentral. Lineage: Eukaryota; Viridiplantae; Streptophyta; Magnoliopsida; Fabales; Fabaceae.
GGGAGAAUAAUUUUUUACCCAUCUCUAUAAGCCGUAGAUGAAGAUAUUUGCUUCACAAAUAUAUACUGCAUAUACUAUCUUGGCAUUGCGCUCACCUUAUCCUUUUUUCCAACACCUUGUAUAUAGCAUAUAUCUUUUACUUUGCUUAAGCAUUUUGGGUAUGAUGAGUUUUAUUACAACAAAUUCAGUGUUCAUUUCAUGAAUUUAACUCACAUUGCUCAUGAAGAGAAGGUUUAUUGGAAUAUGUAUGAUAUUGAUAGGAAUUGGUUGCAAGAAUAAUGAUAUAAUUCAACUUGAAUCUAAAAGCAUUGGCCAAAUAAAUCAUUGGGCCCCCUUGAUCCUAACCGAAGAUGAAGACUAUGAGAAAGUAGAUGAGAGUUUCUUUGUUCCUCUUGGAAGACUCUUGGGAACUCUGACUAGUAACACCUCCAUCAUCCAUAACUGCAGAAGGGUUACAAUUGCACACAAAUGAUGAUCAGAAUGGUAUAAAGAAUAAUGAUGGGCAAAUAUCAUGAAUAAUAAAGGUUACAAUCGGAUCAAAUAUAUGAUAAAAUUCCAAGAAAAAAGACUAAUACAUGAGAGUUACACAUGAGAUGGCUCUAAAUAGCUUCAAACCAGAUGUCAUAUUCCUUUUUUCAGUUACACAUUCUAGUAAGUAUAAAUGGCAAUAUUCAUAACCAACCUUAAAUGGGGCAGUCAGAAGAAGAUAGAAAAGCAAUGCACGUUAUAUUUCUUGGCAACCUAAGGGGUUCCACACAUCAAAAGGAAGCCACAAUCAAUUAUAAAAGGCAAGAGACAUAUCCACAAGAAGGUGGGAUAUACAACACAAAGAGAGACGAUCAUCACAACGAAAUCAGGAGCAAAAAUCAAUACACACCACAUAGAAAAAGAGCAGAACAAAAAAAGCAAUAUACACAUAUCAUACCAAAAUCAGAGAGCAUACAUACAUGGACAUAUACACAUGAUAUAUACAGACAACAUAGAAGAAAGAGAGCUAUCACACAAUACAUAGGAUAUACAAAAAACAUAGAGGUUGGAGGAAUUGAAUUGGAAUUGUAAGGCAGUCUCAGCAGAGGAAAAGGACCAACAACAAGCAAAGCAUUAGUGGUCCAUUGUAUUUUGUUAGUGAAGCAAAAUUAUCACAACAAGCAGGCAACCCAGGUUUAGCAGACUGUUGAUUGAAAACUACUGCAUUGUUGAAUAAAGAGGGAUAGCAUCAGAAAGUUAAAAUGCCAGCUCAAAAAGCUUUGAUGAUACAUCCUCACAUAAGCAAUUCAAGAAAAGAAGGUACCAAAAUCAACCAUGAGUUCCUAAAAAACAAAUCAAGUGGCUCAGGUACGUCAUCUUUCACAUUUUAAUUUGUAGCUGACUUACAUGUUUGCAUAAAGUGUAGUUUUCCAAUGGAUUGCAGGAAGACAUGGCAAUAAACUUUUAGAAAGUUUUUUCCCAUAUUUAGGAAGGAAGACAAUCCCAGCAAGCACUAAGUGCUCAAUUCAAGAAGAAGAAGAAUCUACAACACUUUGACAGAUUCAGCAAAGAAAAUGGCAAGUGAACUCAGGAAGGUAGACUGAUGAGGAGAAGCCAUACCACACUGGAAGGGGAUUUCCAAGGAACAAUUCCACCGACUUGAGUCAAGAGGUGGAGUCAGGAAAUGCCAGGAAGGGAAAUUAUAAACUCAGUGGAAAGAAGAAGAAGGACAAGAGCAGAAUUCAGUGCUUUAACUACAAGAGAUGGGGCCACUUUGUAUCAGAAUGUAAACUCAGAAUGAAGAGUAAAGAUGUAGAGGCAAGUCUAGCCAAGGAAGAAGACUCGGAUGAAGAAGUCUUGUUAAUGGCAGAAGGUGAGGUGGUUGACUUGGAGUUAAGCACAUCAGAUGAGAAACUACUAAUGAUCAAUACAAAGGGUGAUCAACAUUUCUCAUCCAAUAGUUGGUACUUGGAUACAGAAUAUUCAAACCAUAUGUCUGGACAUAGGGAAUGGUUCAUGAACUUUGAUGAUUCAGUAAAGACCAAGGUAAGAUUUGCAAAUGAUAGUUACAUCAUUGCAGAAGGAAUUGGCAAGGUGUUGAUAAGAAGAAAAGAUGAAUCCAACUCAUAUAUCUCAAAUGUACACUAUGUGCCAAAGAUGAAGAAUAAUUUGAUAAGUCUGGGUCAACUACUAGAAAAAGGGUACAAGAUGAGAAUGGAAGAUAUGAUGCUGAAGAUUUUCAAUAAGAAGAAUGCACUCAUCAUGAAAGCUCCCCUCUCACAUAAUAGGACAUUCAAAAUUGGCCUCAACCUUGGUGACAGAAGAUGCCUAGAGACCAUAGCAGAGGAGACUUGGAUUUGGCACCACAGACUUGGACACUUAAUCUUCAAAAGUGUAGAAAAGUUGAGUCAAGAAAGAUUGGUCACAGGACUACCCAACAUCAGGAUUUCUACUGAAUUGUGUGAAGAAUGCAUCACAAGUAAGCAAUCAAGGAACUCCUUUAAGCCACAUGUAUCAUCUAGAACGACCAAGCCAUUGGAAGUAGUAUAUACUGAUGUAUGUGGCCCUCUAGCAGUUUAGUCCCUUGGAGGAAACAACUAUUUUGUAACUAUUUUGUAAAGACAAAGAGAUUACCAAAGAAGUUCUGGGGUGAAGCAGUGGCAACAGCAGCCUACAUAAUAAACAGAUGUCCCACAAAAAGGUUGAACAAAGUGACUCCAGAAGAAGCCUGGUCUGGUGUUAAGCCAAGUGUGAAACACCUUAAGGUGUUUGGGGCAAUAUGCUAUAAACAUAUCCCUGACAACAAGAGAAGAAAGCUGGAUGAUAAAGGAGAAAGGUUGAUCUUCUUACGAUAUCAUUCUACUGGUGCAUACAAGCUAUACAAUCCAAACUCUAAUGUCAUAUCAUAUAGUAGAGAUCUCAGGUUUGAUAAGACUCAGCCCUGGGAUUGGGAUUUAGUUGAUAAGCCAUCAAACAACCUAAGCCAGAUGGAUAUUAGCACCUCACAAGGAACUCUAGUGAGCAACACAACAAGAGAAGACAAUGCAGAAACUAGUGAGAAGCCUCAAAGACAAAGAAACAUGCCUGCAAGAUUGAGAGACUAUGAAGUCUUCUCAGAUACAACAAUCACAUCAGAGGGAGAUUUGGUCCACAUGGCUCUUCUAGCUGAGAUGGAACCUCUAACCUUUGAGCAAGCAGCCAAACAAGUCUGUUGGACUGAAGCAAUGCCGAAAGAGAUAAGGUCAAUAGAGAAAAAUAAGACAUGGGAACUCACAUCAUUGCCCAAAGGAAAGAAAGCAAUUGCAGUGAAAUGGGUCUACAAGUUGAAGCUCAAACCAGAUGGGUCAGUGGCCAAGUAUAAGGCCAGGUUAGUUGCAUAAGGAUUCUUACAAAAGCCUGGUCUAGACUUUGAUGAAGUCUUCGCACCUGUUGCAAGAAUUGAGUCUAUCAGGCUGAUUAUUGCAAUAGCAAGUUCAAAGAAUUGGAGCUUGAGCCAGAUGGACGUGAAAUCAACAUUUUUAAAUGGUCCUUUGGAUAGAAAAGUGUUUGUGACACAACCUCUAGGCUUUGAAGUUCCAGGUCAAGAACAUAAAGUCUAUAGAUUACACAAGGCACUCUAUGGACUGAGACAAGCCCCUAGGGCAUGGAACAAAAGAAUAGAUGGAUUCCUUCUCAAACAGGGCCUCAUUAGAUGCACGAGUGAACAUGGAAUCUACAUCAAGAGCUCACCUACAACCGCAUCAGUCAUAAUAUGUUUGUAUGUAGAUGAUCUCUCGAUAAUAGGAUGCAGAGACGAUGAAAUAGAAGGCAUGAAGACAAAGCUGAAGUCAGAAUUUGAAAUGUCUGAUCUAGGCAAUUUGUCAUACUUUCUUGGACUAGAAUUUGUAAGAUUAGAGGAAGGCACAAUAAUGCAUCAGAAGAAAUAUAUUACUAAUGUGCUGAAGAAGUUUGACAUACUUAACUGCAACUCAAGCUCCACACCAGUAGAGACUGGAAAUGUGUUGUGCAAAAGAAAUCCAGAUGAUCAAAAGGUUGAUGCAACACUCUACAGGUAGAUGGUAGGGUCACUAAGAUACAUUUGUAACUCUAGACCAGACAUCACCUAUGGAGUUGGCCUUGUUAGUAGACAUAUGGAAGAUCCAUGGAACUCUCACAUGAUGGCUGUCAAAAGACUUCUUAGAUACCUAAAGGGAAGAAUCAAUUUUGGUGUAUUGUUCCCUGUCAACAAAGGCAACAAACCAAUCUCAGUGUAUGGUUACACUGAUGCAUAUUGGAGUGGAGACAGAGAUGAUAGAAAGAGCACAACUGGUUACCUAUUCAAGCUUGGAGAGACGCCUAUUAGAUGGAGCUCGAAAAAACAGGAAGUAGUGGCACUCUCAUCAUUUGAAGCUGAAUACAUUGCAGUUUGCUUGGGUGGUUGUCAAGGCUUAUGGUUGCAAUCUCUGCUAGCAGAGCUGGGAGUAUGCUGUGAUGACUCAAUGCUUCUAUUAAUGGACAACAAAUCAGCAAUUUGCUUGGCUAAGAACCCUGUGGCACAUGGUAGAAGCAAGCACAUAGACACAAAGUACCACUUCUUGAGAGAUCAAGUGGAGAAACAAAAUCCGAGACUAGAGUUCUAUCCAUCAGAGGAGCAACAAGCUGACAUUUUAACAAAGCCUUUGAAGAAGGAGAGCUUCGAAAAACGGAGGAAGAGGCUAGGUGUUCUAAGUGAAGCUAGCUUGAAUUAAGGGAGAAUGUUAAGUAUAACUCAAUGUAAUUCAAAUAGGUUUAGUGUAGAAACUAAUUGGGCUUUGUUGUAUUUGUAAUUGGGGUUGGUAGUUGAAACUUACCAUAAAUAGAAAGUUCAGGUUGUUAAUCAACAACCAAUUCAUUCCAUUUUUAUCUUCUUUACUAUUCAUCAUAUUCAAGUCGUCCUCAACUUUCUUUCUUUCUUCUUCGUAUGAUUCUUCUUUCAUUGCUAAAUCUAACAGAUUCAGCUCCAAGGUAACCCUUUAAAUACCUCUAUGAAAUACAAAGAUGGAUAAACCCAAGUGAACAUAACUUCCUUAAUAUUUAGUAUUCCAGUUGCUCAAGUCCUUACUCUUCACCUAAAGGCUAAAGCUAUUCCUUUCAAAAACCUAAACCUUACUAUCAUCAACAAUGAACACAACACUUUUUCAUGAGCUAGUUAUUCGAACAUCAAUCAUCUCAAAAACAUAUGACAAGCUUGAGAAGUCAGUUACAGUUAGCAGAUACUUACCUGAUCCAGCCAUCCAAUGUUAAUAUUCCACCACAACUUCAAAGCAAAGUGGAGUAAAUUCGAUUACAAACAACCUUGGAAGGAAAACCAAUAGUCUUUCACAAGGAGUUCGAGAACAUAGGAGAUUGGCACCAAAGAUAUCUGAAACUGUUAAGGGGAAGCUGAGCUUAGGGGCACAAAUCCUUAAAGCAGGUGGAUUGAGAGAGAUGAUGACCCUUUUUCCUCAAGCCACCGUGAUAAACGGUGGUUCCCACUGUGGCUGCCACCUUCAUCAAUCAAGUCGUCAUCAUGGUUCCUUGGAUGACUUAGUUUCAACUGUUGAAAGCUCUGUGGCCACCAUAGUCUCCCUCCACUGGUCUGAAUCGAAGCCAUCACCGGAGAGGAAGGGAUGGAGAAGAUGAUUGUCCAUUCUUGGAGCCACCAUCACGAGCCUCACCUCCUCUAGAGAAGAACUCACCAUCGCCGCCUCUCACUGCCGUUGGAGAGUGAAGAGGAGAUAAUAAUGGUUAGAUUUGGGUUCCCUUGUUUGCCACAAGAAUAUGAGGGUUCACUUGGUUUCAUC